RNAcentral lists this ribosomal RNA (497 nucleotides) under uncultured bacterium. RNAcentral's name for it is "partial 16S ribosomal RNA". It matches the Rfam family "Bacterial small subunit ribosomal RNA", at positions 28 to 507 of the family's 1533-position model. The record is from RNAcentral.
GAUGAACGCUGGCGGCGUGCCUAAUACAUGCAAGUCGAGCGAACGGACGAGAAGCUUGCUUCUCUGACGUUAGCGGCGGACGGGUGAGUAACACGUGGAUAACCUACCUAUAAGACUGGGAUAACUUCGGGAAACCGGAGCUAAUACCGGAUUAUCUUUUGAACCGCAUGGUUCAAAAGUGAAAGACGGUCUUGCUGUCACUUAUAGAUGGAUCCGCGCUGCAUUAGCUAGUUGGUAAGGUAACGGCUUACCAAGGCAACGAUGCAUAGCCGACCUGGGAGGGUGAUCGGCAACACUGGAACUGGGACCCGGUCCGGACUCCUACGGGAGGCAGCAGUAGGGAAUCUUCCGCAAUGGGCGAAAGCCUGACGGGGCAACGCCGCGUGAGUGAUGAAGGUCUUCGGAUCGUAAAACUCUGUUAUUAGGGAAGAACAUAUGUGUAAGUAACUGUGCACAUCUUGACGGUACCUAAUCAGAAAGCCACGGCUAACUACGUG